Molecule: non-coding RNA, 112 nt
Organism: Dendryphion nanum
Lineage: Eukaryota; Fungi; Ascomycota; Dothideomycetes; Pleosporales; Torulaceae
Source: the annotation of a GenBank genome assembly
GACAACGUGCCAGAGUGGUUAAUGGGUAUGACUCGAAAGCCGUUGAUUCGCUCAACGGACAUAUAGAUAUCAUAUGGCUUCGGCCGCACAGGUUCGAAUCCUGUCGUUGUCG